UUAUACUGUAACUUUUGGUCAUGAAUGGACCAGCUAAAAAAGGUUAAAAAAUGUCUGAAGCCAUCAAGAGAAUAUGACACCCACUUAGUGCAGGUGUAAUUUUUAAAAGUUUGCAUUUAAUGUCUUUAACAUAUUAAAGAAAUGCACUUCGAAAUAACUGUGUAGAGACCUAAAAAGCUUUUAAAUUUAGAAAAAUAUCAUUUUAUGACAAGACCGCUUUUCCUGUUUAGGUAGUAAAAGUUUU
Molecule: long non-coding RNA, 244 nt
Filed under: Mytilus galloprovincialis (Mediterranean mussel)
Lineage: Eukaryota; Metazoa; Mollusca; Bivalvia; Mytilida; Mytilidae
Source: RNAcentral